RNAcentral lists this ribosomal RNA (371 nucleotides) under uncultured bacterium. Its description in RNAcentral is "bacterial SSU rRNA". It matches the Rfam family "Bacterial small subunit ribosomal RNA", at positions 526 to 896 of the family's 1533-position model. The record is from RNAcentral.
UGUAGGUCCCGAGCGUUGUCCGGAUUUAUUGGGCGUAAAGCGAGCGCAGGCGGUUUGAUAAGUCUGAAGUUAAAGGCUGUGGCUCAACCAUAGUUCGCUUUGGAAACUGUCAAACUUGAGUGCAGAAGGGGAGAGUGGAAUUCCAUGUGUAGCGGUGAAAUGCGUAGAUAUAUGGAGGAACACCGGUGGCGAAAGCGGCUCUCUGGUCUGUAACUGACGCUGAGGCUCGAAAGCGUGGGGAGCGAACAGGAUUAGAUACCCUGGUAGUCCACGCCGUAAACGAUGAGUGCUAGGUGUUGGAUCCUUUCCGGGAUUCAGUGCCGAAGCUAACGCAUUAAGCACUCCGCCUGGGGAGUACGACCGCAAGGUUG